CAAUAGCGUAUAUUUAAGUUGCUGCAGUUAAAAAGCUCGUAGUUGGAUUUCGGGUGGGAAUGGCCGGUCCGCCGUUUCGGUGUGCACUUGCUACGCCCACCUUGCUGCCGGGGACGUGCUCUUGAGUUCACGCUCGGGACACGGAGUCGGCGAGGUUACUUUGAGUAAAUUAGAGUGUUCAAAGCAGGCCUACGCUCUGAAUACAUUAGCAUGGAAUAACACGAUAGGACUCUGGCCUAUCUUGUUGGUCUGUAGGACCGGAGUAAUGAUUAAGAGGGACAGUCGGGGGCAUUCGUAUUUCAUUGUCAGAGGUGAAAUUCUUGGAUUUAUGAAAGACGAACUACUGCGAAAGCAUUAGCCAAGGAUGUUUUCAUUAA
This 377-nucleotide ribosomal RNA is filed under the name uncultured eukaryote. RNAcentral describes it as "partial 18S ribosomal RNA". It matches the Rfam family "Eukaryotic small subunit ribosomal RNA", at positions 592 to 976 of the family's 1831-position model. The record is from RNAcentral.